AGAGUUGUAUCCUGGCUCAGGAUGAACGCUGGCGGUAUGCUUUACACAUGCAAGUCGUACGAGAGUUUUUAACUCAAGUGGCGGACGGGUGAGUAACACGUAAGAAUUUGCCUUUAGGAGGGGGACAACAACUGGAAACGGUUGCUAAUACCCCAUAUGCUUUCGAGUGAAAUGGUUUUUCCGCCUAAAGAGAAGCUUGCGGCUGAUUAGCUUGUUGGUAAGGUAAUGGCUUACCAAGGCGACGAUCAGUAUCUGGUUUGAGAGGACGAUCAGACACACUGGAACUGAGACACGGUCCAGACUCCUACGGGAGGCAGCAGUGGGGGAUUUUCCGCAAUGGGCGAAAGCCUGACGGAGCAAUACCGCGUGAGGGAUGAAUGCCUAUGGGUUGUAAACCUCUUUUUUCAGGGAGGAACAAAAUGACGUGUACCUGAAGAAUAAGCAUCGGCUAACUCCGUGCCAGCAGCCGCGGUAAGACGGAGGAUGCAAGUGUUAUCCGGAAUCACUGGGCGUAAAGCGUCUGUAGGUG
Molecule: ribosomal RNA, 529 nt
Filed under: uncultured cyanobacterium
Lineage: Bacteria; Bacillati; Cyanobacteriota
Description: bacterial SSU rRNA
Rfam family: Bacterial small subunit ribosomal RNA
Source: RNAcentral